GUGCCAGCAGCCGCGGUAAUACGGAGGUGGCAAGCGUUGUUCGGAAUUACUGGGCGUAAAGCGUACGCAGGUGGCGAUCCAAGUCGGAUGUGAAAGCCAGGGGCUCAACCCCGGAUGGGCAUCCGGGACUGGAUGGCUGGAGUCCGGGAGAGGAGAGCGGAAUUCCCAGUGUAGAGGUGAAAUUCGUAGAUAUUGGGAAGAACACCGGUGGCGAAGGCGGCCAUCUGGACCGGUACUGACGCUGAGGCGCGAAAGCGUGGGGAGCAAACAGGAUUAGAUACCCUGGUAGUCCACGCCGUAAACGAUGCGUGCUAGACGUUGGGGGGCUUGCCCUUCGGUGUCGCAGCCAACGCGCUAAGCGCGCCGCCUGGGGAGUACGGCCGCAAGGUUAAAACUCAAAUGAAUUGACGG
Molecule: ribosomal RNA, 411 nt
Filed under: uncultured bacterium
Lineage: Bacteria
Description: bacterial SSU rRNA
Rfam family: Bacterial small subunit ribosomal RNA
Source: RNAcentral